RNAcentral lists this unclassified non-coding RNA (313 nucleotides) under Sordariomycetes sp. Its description in RNAcentral is "partial contains 5.8S ribosomal RNA, internal transcribed spacer 2, and large subunit ribosomal RNA". The stretch from base 1 to 71 matches the Rfam family "5.8S ribosomal RNA", at positions 84 to 154 of the family's 154-position model. Lineage: Eukaryota; Fungi; Ascomycota; Sordariomycetes. The record is from RNAcentral.
GUGAAUCAUCGAAUCUUUGAACGCACAUUGCGCCCGCCAGUAUUCUGGCGGGCAUGCCUGUUCGAGCGUCAUUUCAACCCUCAAGCCCCAGUGGCUUGGUGUUGGGGACCGGCGACCUCGCCUGCACCUGGUGCAAGCGUCCGCCGCCCCCGAAAUGAAUUGGCGGCCUCGUCGCGGCCUCCUCUGCGUAGUAGCACAACCUCGCAACAGGAGCGCGACGCGGCCACUGCCGUAAAACGCCCAACUUUUUUAGAGUUGACCUCGGAUCAGGUAGGAAUACCCGCUGAACUUAAGCAUAUCAAUAAGCGGAGGA